GAUGGUUCCUGCUCUCCGGGAGCUGCACCGUAUUGAGGGGACUUAUGGUGGCCACACAACCAGGGUUGAUGAAAGAAUUCCAGGUUAUGCCCGUUGCUGCAGCCUCUUAGACGGUUAACGUGCCCUUCCACUAGCAGAAGUGUCACAGUGUGGAAAUAGAGGGUUCUGAAGAGACUAGACUGGGAGUUCUUAAAGGUCAGAGGUCUCAUUUUAUUCAUAUGUGCAUCCCCAGCGCCUGGCCUCUCGUAAGCAGUUAAUAAAAGAAAGACUUGCUAGGUGGGUGAGUGAGAACGUAAGUAGAUUCUUCACCUCGACUCUCUGAAUUUGGUCUCUGAAUUUCUGUUUACCGUUUAUCUUUGUGUGCUCGGGCCGCUAGGGUGCCUCUACUGCGUUUUGACUGAACCAGAGAUUUCAGAACUUCAGCUGGGAAUCGCUUUGGUUGCCUGUACACGCCCUGGUGGCCUGUAGCUUCAUGACUUGCGGGCUAAAUAGUAUUCCGUGUCUGGAUGUACUACAGUUUAUCUGUUCACUUACUGAAGGACAUCUUCAUUACUUCUAAGUUUUGGCAAUUAUGAAUAAAGCUGCUAUAAAUAUUCGUCUGCAGGCUUUUGAGGGGACAUGUUUUCAACUCAUUUGGUUAGACACCAAGGAAAGUGAUUGCUGGAUCACAUGGUAAGACUAUUUCUGUAAGUAACUGCCAAAGCUUUCUAUUUUUUACGUUUAUUCAACAGAUUUUAGUUGUAAUACCGUGAACAUGGUUAAUCCUCCAUCUACACUUAGUGUUAUAAUGAACACCCUCUCCUCAGUCUUUUUUUGUGUGUGAGGAAGAUUGGCUCUGAGCUAACAUCUAUGCCAAUCUUCCUCUAUUUAUUUGGGAUGCUGCCACAGCAUGGCUUGACGAGCAGUGCUAGGUCCACGCCUGGGAUCCGAACCUGAGAACCCUGGGCCACCAAAGCAGAGCACAUGAACUUAACCACUAUGUCAACAGGCUGGCCCCCUCUCCUCACUUUUAAGCCUACCGCUACCAUGUCACACAGAGAUGCUCAGAGUGGUGUUUUCAUCUGGAUCCAAGUAUAUUGUGGCCACAAAGUCUCAUAGCAUAAAAAUAGCAACAACAACAAUAAUAAUCUUGAUGAUAAUAAUAGCCAAGAAUUAUUGAUUACUUAGCAUUGUCAGGCUCUUUACAUGUGUUAUUUCAUUUCACCAUUACAGCUACCCUCUGGUUAGGUACCAUUACUACCCACAAUUUGGAGAUAAGAUCGAGGCUUAGGGAGAGUGAAUAACUUGCACAAGUGUUAGUGGUAAAGCCAAGUGUGCGUCCAUCUAGUUUUGCUCGACUCUGCUCAGCAAUGUAUUAUGCCAGAGUUAAGAGCAUGAGAUUUAGAGUCAGAUGGACGUAGGUUAGUAUUCUGGACCUACCAUUUUGCCAGUCAUGUGAUCUUGACCUGGUGACUUCUAGCUGCAGUGUGCCCAUCUGUAAAAUGGGAUAAUAACACCUACCCAUGGCAAAUGCUGUCUGUUGUCUCCUCAAUAGCUAUGGCCUCCCCACCACACAGAACCAGGUUCAGGUGUUAGGGAAGAGGCCCCAGAUCUCAGGGAAGAGAGGCCCCAUCCCAGCCUCCUGAAAUGAAUCAAGAUUGGUUUAAGUCAGAUAUGGUAAUGGUGGGCAUGUUAUCUAGUUUUGUUGGGGUAAGCAUGCUAGGGAGGGGUUCUCUUCCCAAGUAAAAAGACAAAGCCCCCCAUAGGGGAAGCUCAUACUUAUCUUUUCUUCCUGCCUGGAUGUUGGGCAUGAUACCUGGAGGUGCAGCAGCCAUCUUGCAAGCCUAAGCUGACAAGCUAAUAGACUAAAAUGGUAGAGCAGAAAAGAUAGAAAGAGCCUAGGUCAUUGACAGCAUCGUUAAGCUGUUCAACCAGCCCAAGACAGAAGACUACCUCCACGCUUUUUGCUAUUGAAACAGUUCUUACUUGUUUAUGCCACCCCAAGCUGAGUUGUCUUCUCUUUGCAGCUGAGAGCAUUUCUAAUAGAUAAACAGUUUUCCACCAAAGCACAGGGUUGAGUAACUUAGUAUGAUGGUUGAGAGCCCAAAUUCUAGACUUGGAGUUCUGGGGUUUUAUUCCUAGUUCUUCCACCAACCAGCUGUGUGACCUGGACAAGUCACUGAGCUUCUCUGUGCCUCACUGUCCUCAUCUGUAAAAUGCCCAAUAAAUGUGUACUGGGCAUCGAAUGAGGGAUAAUAGUGGUACUUACCUCCCAAGAUUAUUAUGAGCGUUCAUAAAAUGACUAAGUAUUUUAUAAAAUGACUAGAGCAUAGCCCGACACAUAGUAAGUGGUUAUACGCAUGUUUGUCAAAAAAAAAAACAAUUAAAGAAAAGGAGUCACUAUUACUGGCUUCAGUUUGAACCCCGAUGUGAUCCUUGGGCCACAUGCAGUAUUCAAGCAGAAGCUUGACCCUUUCACUCCCCAGACUCAUGGAGCAUGAAGCUCCCACUAAAAUCUGUCUCAAAGCAGCAACACGGUGGUUUCUUUUUAACAGAAAAGUCUCCUUAGAGCAGGUUGACUUAAAACAGGAGGGGCUGUGAUAUCAAGGCGUGUCAGGGAGUGAAUGACCGAAAUACCCAAACUUGCCCAUGCAAAUGGCUCUGAGUCUCCCCUGACUGCCCUUUAGAAGGUUCUAGACUUCUGUGAACUCCUUUUUGAAAGGGUCUUUCCACCAGUGGCUUAUUCUUUUGAAUCUCCUUACACCUUUCUUGCUGGUGGCUGGUGGGUGGGAGUGGGGAGGAAGGGGUGACACCUGCCUGCGUUCGGGGCCCUUUUCCCUUGUGAGGGACGAGACCACUGGCCAGUAUGUGAGGGAGCUGGCUGGACCUGGUCUCUCUCACUGUCUACUGCCCACAGUGCCAUCCUCUGUAAAGAGCAGAUUUGAAUUUGGGCAGCAACUCAGCAUUUUUUGGAAACCUAUCUCGUUUGUGAGCUUAAAGAUAGACGUGCCCAUUACCAAAUCCAGUGGAAUCUUCCUUCAAAAUAUAUGCCUGUUCCACUCCUCACCCUCGCCUCCAGAGACAGUCCACACCAAGCCACCUCCCCUUCUGCCUGGAUUACUGCCUCGUAACUGGCCUUCCCGUUU
This is a long non-coding RNA of Equus asinus (donkey), 3125 nucleotides long. NCBI's taxonomy places the organism in Eukaryota, Metazoa, Chordata, Mammalia, Perissodactyla, Equidae. The record is from Ensembl.